RNAcentral lists this ribosomal RNA (460 nucleotides) under uncultured bacterium. RNAcentral's name for it is "partial 16S ribosomal RNA". It matches the Rfam family "Bacterial small subunit ribosomal RNA", at positions 338 to 795 of the family's 1533-position model. The record is from RNAcentral.
CCUACGGGUGGCAGCAGUGAGGAAUAUUGGUCAAUGGCCGGAAGGCUGAACCAGCCAUGCCGCGUGAAGGUCAGUGCCCUAUGGGCGUUAAACUUCUUUUGUGCGGGAGCAAUAAUGGUCACGUGUGGCCAGACGAGAGUACCGUACGAAUAAGCAUCGGCUCACUCCGUGCCAGCAGCCGCGGUAAUACGGGGGAUGCAAGCGUUAUCCGGAUUUAUUGGGUUUAAAGGGUGCGUAGGCUGUGAGGUAAGUCAGCGGUGAAAUGCCCCCGCUCAACGGGGUGAAGUGACAUUGAUAAUGCCUGGCUGGAAUGCGGAUGCAGUGGGAGGAAUGUGUGGUGUAGCGGUGAAAUGCAUAGAUAUCACACAGAACACCGAUUGCGAAGGCAUCUCACGAAUCCGCGAUUGACGCUGAUGCACGAAAGCGUGGGUAUCAAACAGGAUUAGAUACCCCAGUAGUC